This 468-nucleotide ribosomal RNA is filed under the name uncultured bacterium. Its description in RNAcentral is "partial 16S ribosomal RNA". It matches the Rfam family "Bacterial small subunit ribosomal RNA", at positions 28 to 507 of the family's 1533-position model. The record is from RNAcentral.
GACGAACGCUGGCGGCGUGCUUAACACAUGCAAGUCGAACGGAAAGGCCCUGCUUUUGUGGGUUGCUCGAGUGGCGAACGGGUGAGUAACACGUGAGUAACCUGCCCUUGACUUUGGGAUAACUUCAGGAAACUGGGGCUAAUACCGGAUAGGAGCUCCUGCUGCAUGGUGGGGGUUGGAAAGUUUCGGCGGUUGGGGAUGGACUCGCGGCUUAUCAGCUUGUUGGUGGGGUAGUGGCUUACCAAGGCUUUGACGGGUAGCCGGCCUGAGAGGGUGACCGGCCACAUUGGGACUGAGAUACGGCACAGACUCCUACGGGAGGCAGCAGUGGGGAAUAUUGCACAAUGGGCGGAAGCCUGAUGCAGCAACGCCGCGUGCGGGAUGACGGCCUUAGGGUUGUAAACCGCUUUCGCCUGUGACGAAGCGUGAGUGACGGUAAUGGGUAAAGAAGCACCGGCUAACUACGUG